UAAGCAGAGAUCAAAUCAAUCAGACAGACAGCUGGAGAACCAGGAACAAGCCCACAAGCAGAGCUGACUCAAGGCUGUCUAUGAACUCUGGACCCAGAUAGGCUAACAUUUCCACCAAUACAGCAAACUUUUCCAAAAGCUAAGGAUGGGCAUCAACAUGAUAUCAGAAUAAGGAGUUUCUAAAUAUCCAGAUUGAAAAAAUGUGUCAUCAAGGAACCAGAAGAAUAUUGUAUUUGAGAGAAUGACACAAUGAACUGUAGCUAGUCUGUCUUCACAUGUAAAAUUCCUAUCAAUCUGAAACUUCAUCAAACCAGAAAAAGCAGUACCAAAUACUACUUGGAAGCAAAAGCAUCAAAAUAUCAGUGGUAUUAUUAAAUAGCGAACAUAUUUCUUUUUCGAUCAAGAUUAAUAAUAUAUUAAUUCAGGAGGUAGAUUUAACAUUUCUAUAGUUUGAGAGUUAAGUUUGGUUGAGAAAUAAGGGAUUAUUCUGUAAUUUUCUCAGACAGUAGGCAAAUUGUUUUAACAAGCUGAACAGUUGUGGGGAAGUGGAAUAUCAACAAAGAUGCAUGACCCAAAUGACUUUUCCAGUCACCUUAAACUUAACUCAUCAAAUGUUUCUUGGAAAAGUCUUAAUAGUUACACAUAGUACAGACAUGACUGUCUUAUCCUGAGUUUUGCUAAAAGCAAAGUCUGAAACAAAUGCUAAUAUGUGAGAAGUUAUUUUGGGAAUGUGAUUUGAAAGAGCAGAAAUGAGUGGCAGAUAAAUGGAAGGGAGGAAAGCCAAUACAAAGAUGAAUUACUGAGUUGGGUCGUUUGGUCCUAAAGGGCCUUUUGAGGAGCUUUAUGAAAUAUGUGUUCAAACCAUCUGUGCAGGGUAAGAAACGAGAAGCAUUUGUCUACAAGCUCCUCUUCCUGAUUGGCCCAGACCCCCCAACAUGUGGUUUGUACAUGUUUCAGUACCAGGAAAUUUCCAGCAGGUGUCCUAUAUAGCAUCAAAGAAGCCCCAAACAGAAAGCAAGAGAGGUGCUUCUUGGUGAACUGUGUGAAGCUGGAGAAGUCUGCCUGAUAUUGGUUGCUACAAUAACUGAAGUAAGAGAUGAAGAUAAUUCAGCAGGUUCCAAGAAAGGUGAAAUACAAAAGAUUGCUUAAAGGGCAUUUGAAACUAUCCAAAUGAAUGAAGCUUCUAUAGAAUUAUCACAGAAACUCACAAUUCUCUCCUUCUGGGAUGCCAUGACACUUCAUGUAGAAGAGGAAUGUUAUUAAUCUCAACCAUUCAAAAGCCAAGCAGUGAUAAUACCACUUUGUCAAUCUCUUUUAGGAAAAUAAAGCAAAAUACUUGCACAAAAUUAGUUAUUACAAUGUUAUUUAGAAUAUUGAAGGGGUUGCAAGCAGCCAAGAUAUCCAACAACAGGACAUGUUUAGGCAAAUUAUGCCACAUCUAUUUGUUAGAUAAUCUAAUUUGGUACUUUAAAAAUUCUCAGUUGUAAUGUGGAAGAAUUUCUGAAAUAUCAAGGGGAAAUAAAUAUGUAAUAUUGUGAUUACCACUGUGUAAAAAUACACAGGAAGAAAAACCUAAGAAGGGUCCACAUCAAAAUGAUACCGGAUGUGUUAGAGCGAUGUUAUAAUAUAAGUUUUUUCCUUGUUUU
RNAcentral lists this long non-coding RNA (1646 nucleotides) under Homo sapiens (human). RNAcentral describes it as "HSALNT0147600". Lineage: Eukaryota; Metazoa; Chordata; Mammalia; Primates; Hominidae. The record is from RNAcentral.